AUGUCUCACGUGGUUAACUUCUUCUCCUCUGUGCUCUCUGCCAAGCCUGAGGUAGGCUUUAGACUGGCCAAUUCUUUCUGGGCCUCUCAAGAUCAGGUUUCGAGUGAGGAUAACGACGUCUUGCUGAUUCCCCCUUCUGAUGAGGAGAUUUUUGACACGUUACGCACAGCCAAUUCUAAUGCGGCUUCAGGACCUGAUGGUUUCUCCAUUCCCUUCUUUAGGCAAUUCUGGCCUCAGCUGCGGGAUCUUGUCCAGGCUAUCAUUCAAGGCUUCUGGCUGGGAACCGUUGAUAUUUCUCGUCUAAACUAUGCGGUGCUAACUCUUAUUCCUAAAGUCAAAGGGGCAGACUUGAUUACUCAGUUCAGGCCUAUAGCCUUGAUCAAUAAUUUCGCGAAGCUUUCGGCUAAAGGCUUUGCCACUAGGCUAUCCCCCAUUGCCCAUCGCUCCCUUAGCCCAUUCCAAAUAGCUUUCAUUAAGGGCAGGUUCAUUCUGGAUCAUAUUCUAUGUCUUCAUGAGAUCGUUUAUGAUCUGCGAGCCUGUGGCUCCAAAGCGGUGAUUCUAAAACUGGACUUCGAAAAAGCUUACGAUUCGGUCAGUUGGAAAUUCCUCCGGCAAGUGCUA
Molecule: ribosomal RNA, 621 nt
Filed under: Triticum aestivum (bread wheat)
Lineage: Eukaryota; Viridiplantae; Streptophyta; Magnoliopsida; Poales; Poaceae
Description: partial small subunit ribosomal RNA
Source: RNAcentral